This 67-nucleotide small nucleolar RNA is filed under the name Anisakis simplex (herring worm). RNAcentral's name for it is "Small nucleolar RNA SNORD2". It matches the Rfam family "Small nucleolar RNA SNORD2". The record is from Rfam by way of RNAcentral. Lineage: Eukaryota; Metazoa; Nematoda; Chromadorea; Rhabditida; Anisakidae.
UUGUGCGAUGAUGGCAUACCAUCUUUCGGGUCUGAAUAUGAUGACAACCCUUCUUUACUGAGCACUC